UCACUGUUGGUCCAGUGGCUAAGACACUGAGCUCCCAAUUCAGGGGGCCCAGGUUCAAUCCCUGGUCAGGGAA
Transfer RNA from Ovis aries (sheep), 73 nucleotides. It matches the Rfam family "tRNA". From Rfam's summary of the family: Transfer RNA (tRNA) molecules are approximately 80 nucleotides in length. Their secondary structure includes four short double-helical elements and three loops (D, anti-codon, and T loops). The record is from Rfam. NCBI's taxonomy places the organism in Eukaryota, Metazoa, Chordata, Mammalia, Artiodactyla, Bovidae.